GAAGGUGGCGAGCGUUGUUCGGAAUCACUGGGCUUAAAGCGCAUGUAGGCGGCCAUGUAAGCGUCUUGUGAAAUCCCUCGGCUCAACCGAGGAACUGCUGGGCGAACUGCAUGGCUUGAGGCAGGUAGAGGUACAUGGAACUCUUGGUGGAGCGGUGAAAUGCGUAGAUAUCAAGAGGAACGCCGGAGGCGAAGGCGGUGUACUGGGCCUGUCCUGACGCUGAGAUGCGAAGGCUAGGGUAGCGAACGGGAUUAGAUACCCCGGUAGUCCUAGCAGUAAACGAUGCCUACUAGGUCGGAGGUUCUCUGACGGAGUUCCGGCCGGACUAAGCGUUAAGUAGGCCGCCUGGGAGUACGGUCGCAAGGCUA
Molecule: ribosomal RNA, 368 nt
Filed under: uncultured organism
Description: partial 16S ribosomal RNA
Rfam family: Bacterial small subunit ribosomal RNA
Source: RNAcentral